GUGUGUGUGCGUGUGUGUGUGUGUGUUCCAAGGGUAGACCUUGAAGAUAUAUGUGUGUGUAUAUGAAGAUAUGUAUAUAUCUUCAAGGUCUAUCCUUGGAACACACACACACACGCAC
RNAcentral lists this microRNA precursor (118 nucleotides) under Marmota monax (woodchuck). The record is from RNAcentral. Lineage: Eukaryota; Metazoa; Chordata; Mammalia; Rodentia; Sciuridae.